UACGGAGGGGGCUAGCGUUGUUCGGAAUUACUGGGCGUAAAGCGCACGUAGGCGGCUUUGUAAGUUAGAGGUGAAAGCCCGGGGCUCAACUCCGGAAUUGCCUUUAAGACUGCAUCGCUAGAAUUGUGGAGAGGUGAGUGGAAUUCCGAGUGUAGAGGUGAAAUUCGUAGAUAUUCGGAAGAACACCAGUGGCGAAGGCGGCUACCUGGUCCGGAUCUGACGCUGAGGCGCGAAAGCGUGGGGAGCAAACAGG
This 253-nucleotide ribosomal RNA is filed under the name uncultured bacterium. RNAcentral describes it as "partial 16S ribosomal RNA". It matches the Rfam family "Bacterial small subunit ribosomal RNA", at positions 524 to 776 of the family's 1533-position model. The record is from RNAcentral.